UCCUGAUAACCCUGCAAUGCAGCAGGUCUU
This 30-nucleotide non-coding RNA is filed under the name Mus musculus (house mouse). Lineage: Eukaryota; Metazoa; Chordata; Mammalia; Rodentia; Muridae. The record is from RNAcentral.